This 73-nucleotide transfer RNA is filed under the name Tupaia belangeri chinensis (Chinese tree shrew). RNAcentral describes it as "Tupaia chinensis (Chinese tree shrew) tRNA". It matches the Rfam family "tRNA". Rfam says of the family: Transfer RNA (tRNA) molecules are approximately 80 nucleotides in length. Their secondary structure includes four short double-helical elements and three loops (D, anti-codon, and T loops). Further hydrogen bonds mediate the characteristic L-shaped molecular structure. tRNAs have two regions of fundamental functional importance: the anti-codon, which is responsible for specific mRNA codon recognition, and the 3' end, to which the tRNAs corresponding amino acid is attached (by aminoacyl-tRNA synthetases). tRNAs cope with the degeneracy of the genetic code in two manners: having more than one tRNA (with a specific anti-codon) for a particular amino acid; and 'wobble' base-pairing, i.e. permitting non-standard base-pairing at the 3rd anti-codon position. The record is from Rfam by way of RNAcentral. Lineage: Eukaryota; Metazoa; Chordata; Mammalia; Scandentia; Tupaiidae.
GCCUAGGUAGCUCAGUUGGUAGAGCAUCAGAGUUUUAAUCUGAGGGUCCAGGGUUCAUGUUCCCAUUCUGGCA